GUUAUUGAAAUAUUUCAAUGUGUUUGAUAUGCAAAUUAUGACGUCGCAAGUUGGGUACAGAAUUCUGUACCCGGCUUGUGACGUCUUAAUUUGCAUUUCAAACACAUUGAAAUAUCUCAGAAAC
Non-coding RNA from Paramuricea clavata, 124 nucleotides. The record is from the annotation of a GenBank genome assembly. Lineage: Eukaryota; Metazoa; Cnidaria; Anthozoa; Malacalcyonacea; Plexauridae.